UCUCAGUCAGUCGUAGUCACUACUCACCGACCGUCGUCAGCCGUUAGCUUUCGUCGUUAAUGAUGAACAUGAUAAAUAGUGUUCUUGCACGCAUGGAUUGUGAUAUAUUCAGAAAAGAUUUCCUUUUUGUAUGAAGGUGUGACCUUCAAAGUGUUAAUUAAUGGCUUGCAUGUUUUCUCUGUUUCUUUGCGGGGCUGUUAAAGUUUUUAGCUCAUCAUAAGCUUAGAGAUGCUUCUGUUGUGUGAGCAAACUAAUAUUAUUCCUUCCAUAAUAUGAACAUAUUAAUUUAUCGCAUUUAAUUUUCCUUUUAAA
Molecule: long non-coding RNA, 312 nt
Organism: Mangifera indica (mango)
Lineage: Eukaryota; Viridiplantae; Streptophyta; Magnoliopsida; Sapindales; Anacardiaceae
Exons: 2
Source: RefSeq, a predicted model, not a curated record